UAUCCAGACUCCUACGGGAGGCAGCAGUGGGGAAUAUUGGGCAAUGGGCGCAAGCCUGACCCAGCAACGCCGCGUGAAGGAAGAAGGCUUUCGGGUUGUAAACUUCUUUUCUCAGGGACGAAGAAAAUGACGGUACCUGACCAAGAAGCCCCGGCUAACUACGUGCCAGCAGCCGCGGUAAUACGUAGGGGGCAAGCGUUAUCCGGAUUUACUGGGUGUAAAGGGAGCGUAGACGGUGCGCCAAGUCUGGAGUGAAAUGCCGCGGCUUAACCGCGGAACUGCUUUGGAAACUGGCGCGCUUGAGUGCGGGAGGGGUAAGCGGAAUUCCUAGUGUAGCGGUGAAAUGCGUAGAUAUUAGGAGGAACACCGGUGGCGAAGGCGGCUUACUGGACCGUAACUGACGUUGAGGCUCGAAAGCGUGGGGAGCAAACAGGAUUAGAUACCCGGGUAA
This 451-nucleotide ribosomal RNA is filed under the name uncultured bacterium. RNAcentral describes it as "bacterial SSU rRNA". It matches the Rfam family "Bacterial small subunit ribosomal RNA", at positions 328 to 793 of the family's 1533-position model. The record is from RNAcentral.